RNAcentral lists this long non-coding RNA (27529 nucleotides) under Selaginella moellendorffii. RNAcentral describes it as "long non-coding RNA (SMOE_LNC000178)". Lineage: Eukaryota; Viridiplantae; Streptophyta; Lycopodiopsida; Selaginellales; Selaginellaceae. The record is from RNAcentral.
UAAAAGUUCUGCAGCUUAACAUCGAGGCAUCGUUCAACAAGAUUGCGGGGAGCAAGACAAGCAUCAAGACCACCUCCGUGUUUGUGGAGUCAUACAACCAGAGGAUCUACCUCCGGGACCAUGCAAGGGCCAUCCAAACCCUCCCACUCAACUCUGAUUUCCUCAGUGACUUGCGCAACCUUCCCGAGCCACCCAGCUCCGACAGCGCUUGGGGGCCAUACCAAUCCUUCUUGAACAAGUGGGGAACGCACUACGUGGCCGAGAUGUUCCACGGCUCAUGGCUGCGCCAGUGGACCGUGGCCUCCUCCACGGCGACGUUCACCGAGCGCCAAAUGCAGGCCAAAGCCUGUGCCAAGCUCACCGGCCUCAAGGGAGUCCUCCCCAACAUGGAGGGCUGCGCGGGUAUCACUCUUGAGGAGAUGCGCGCCGCGGAGGGGAUCAACACGCAAGACACUCGAGAGGCCCGGGGUGGAUCCUCCGCCACCGUCUCGCAGCUGCUCUCGGGUGACAUAACCAACGAUCUCAUCCGGAAGUUCAUCGAGGAGGGAGCCACGAGCAAGGAAGCAGUACGCUACGGCUUCUUUCCAGUGUGGGUGCCCGUCUUGUCUCAGUACAUGUCGUCCGCGUCCAUGGAGUGGAGAGUGGCAACGGCGCUCCAGGCUUACUAUGAAGGCUUCCUCGCCUUCAAGUGUCCCCUGGACCAGCUCAACACACCCGCGACUGUCUUGCAGCAGUUUCGGAGGCUCAGCAAUGGCAAGUAUCAGUGCGUUCGCCAGUGCCAGGGCUGCAGGCUUGACAAGGAUUGCAACCUUAGUGGUGUAUCUGGAUGCUAUUGCUACGGUAACUCGUGCAUCAACGCUCUGGGACCGGAUGGCCGAGCUCAGGUUCAGCGGCAGAAGGAUAACCUCGACCGUAAUGUGCUGCCUAACAGGUCGUGUGAGUACAACUUUCCUCAGUGCCGCUGCAACACCAAAUCCAAAGAGGCGAAUUGUGGUGCUGACAACAUGAUUCCGAUAUGGGACCAGGGUCAAAACAGCAUUGCGAUCGAUUCAAACAUCCUUCUUUAUGACAAAGAAUGAGCCAAACAUGAUUGUGUGUUUGUUGUUUGUGAUUUGCAUUGCAUUACGUCUCUACAAUAACAUGCAUCUCUAUGUAUAUUUUCCAUGGUUGUGUGUGGUUUGUAUUUAACAGUCCUGUGUUUUCAAAAAGAAUAAAUAAAAAGAUGUUAAGUUAUACAAUACAAUUCGCAAGAGUCGGCAGCUGUGUACACUGUGUAGGUGAAAGAUGACUUCCAUGUACUAUAUGAGCUCCCCAAGACAUGCACAUCUCAGCUGGAAGACCUUUCUGUCCUGGCAUGAGUGGGAUCAAGUAACUCUUCUGAGCAGGAUCCAGCAGUUGCAAAGAGUGGCCUAAAUUGGAGCAGCUGCAAUCAAGACCUGGUGGUAAAUUGUGUAUACUUGAAUUAGACUUGGAAAAACAUUAUCACUAAAUUGUUUGUGAGUGCAUGAAAUAUGGAAAGGGAAUAUAAAAAUGUGCAUAUCAAUUAGCCCAAAAACCUUAGCUUAUAUACAGAAGCGAGUGGUCUGGAUUGAAACUAAUAUGACAGCUACCAAAAUCCCACUAUGCUAAUAUUAGUAUACGGCAUCGUAGCCAUACACUAAUGGAAGACUAUCAGGGUUCUCUUGUAAACGGGCUGGGAUCUAGAGGAACAUCAGGAGGAGGCAUCGGCGCAUCUGUAGACGGUAUUAACUGCUCCUGAUCCUUUUGUAUGAAGCAUUUCAACUGCUGCACAUGCACAAUCUCUAGAGGCUUGGCCUACUAGACGUCAUGCCGAACCUUAUAAACUUGUGGUGUAACUUGCCGCAACACCUGAUAUGGUCCUUUCCAUUGUGCAAGGAGCCCCUUAGAUAAACCACGUACCGUAAGAUGGGGAAAAUGGACUAACACUAAAUCAUCCACUUUGUACUCCGUAGGUAGACGAUGAUGGGAGUUAUACCACCGUUGUUGUCCCACUUGUACGUGGCCUAAGUAUUUGGUAGACUCUGCUCGGACAAGUGGAAAAAUGCUCGUCAAAUAUUGAUCCCAUGACCUAGCAUUUGUAGCUUGUGGCAAUCGUGAAGGUAAACCCAGCUCCGUUGGUAAUAUUGGAUCAUGAUCAUAUAGAAGUUUAUAUGGUGAAGCACCAAUAUAACUCUACACCCCAGUGAUAUAUAUAUACCAAAUAGAUGGCAAAUAAUUAUCCCAAUCCGAAUGCUAAAAAUUCACAUACUUCACAAUCAUCCCCUUGAAUGUCCGAAUGAGCCGUUCCACCAAGCUAUUUGAUUGUGGAUGGUAAACAAUGUGGUGUAUCCCCAACCAAAACAUCAAAACAUGAAAUGCCUCAGCCAUAAAUGUGGGACCAUUAUCCGAAAGAAUCCAUUCUGGAACACCACUCGAUUGAGGAGGAAGUAUCCAAUAUCAGUUGCAGAGACGCUAGUAAGAGCACCAACUUCCACCCAAUGAGUUAAAUAGUCAUAAACAAUAAUAACAUACUCAUUACCAAUAGUCUACCGUGAAAAAGAUCCCUUAAGAUCAAAUGCGACCAACUCAAAUGGACGGAAAACUACAAUUGACUCCAACCAUCCUUCCGCAACCCGAGGGGGAGUAUUACAAGUAUUACGAAUUAUUAAGAAUUCCUCCUCGCGGCUUUUUCACUCUGUCCUGCCACCAACGAAGAUUCAACUCCACCAUCGAUCAAGGAAUGAAGGCGUUCUCGAGGAUUCUAAAAGGAACUCACUCCUUUUCAACCUAGAUCCAGCUAAGUUCCUCGAAUGAUACAUAUUUCCGACAGCCUGCAACAUGAAAAAGAAGAAAAAUCUAAAGCCAUGCCAAGACCCACAAUUUUUGGGUGAGAAGAAUUAAGUACCUUGAAGAAAGCCUCCUUCUGGGGCACCUCAACAAGCGUGGAGCCUCCACUCCGUUCCAAAAACUCCGCAACAGUCAUGCGCUAAAUUUUGGGAUGCCUGACAAGGUCGCACCGUCGUCUAAAAGCUGCAACAAAAGGAAGCAACCGGAAGUUUGAUCAUCUGAGGAGCUGGUGUUGUGAGCUUCUCCAAAAGCUUUGGCUGUCAGGCCCAUCUAGAAUUUUACGUAGCGGUGCCAUUGAAGUGGCCAUUACCUGGAGCACGAGAGAGAGAGAGAGAGAGUUUCCACAAAGUUUUCCAACGAGCAGCCAGUCCAAGAGAGCGUUAGAUGGCAGCCAAGCUCACGUAAAAUCGAGAUUGCCAAGAGCGUAGAAAAUACGUUCAAGGAGGUCGCAAGUAGAGGCCAUCGCAUCUAAGAUCGAUCGAAGAAGAAAGGAUGAAAACCAGCGAUCGAAACGAGAAAAAAGGAGACCUUACAGUGCUUGACGAGCGAUGACACGGCUUGAGCGGCGGAGUCGCCAAAUGUGUUAGCACUGGAAGAGAGCUCGGACGAUCGGUUUAGCGAGAGGGAUCGCGAGACCGGUCAUUAAAAGCAUGCAAAGCUUGAUGCCUCGAUCAUCUGGAGCAAACGCGAGAAGUAUCGAAAGAGUUACUUCAACCUGCAAAAGCCAUUGAGCCAAAGCUCCCACUGUCGAGGCCAAAACGAGCAAAACACCUCCUGUCAAGCACCACUUUGUAUGAAUCGACUUUAAAGCUCAAGGCAAUGAGGAUUGCACAGCUUGCAAUGAAUUGCAGCCUGCAUGGAGCCAAGAACACAGUCAAGAACACACGAAUCUUUUGUCUUGUAACCAAAACUUACAGCGAGAAUGAUCAAUAUGCUUGAUAGAGCAGGACUCAAGGAUGCAAUCCCGUAUCUUCCCGAGACACUGCACACGAAAACCCAUUCCAAAGUUUGGCUGCAAACUGGACGAGAAAACUCGGUCAAAACUUCCACAGCCGAUUCCCAUCAAGCACGCGAGUGUUACACAAGGCGCCAUGAUUCUUAGCUAGAGGUUUUCUUCUUCUGAAGCUACCUGAAGUAUAGCCAUGCUUCUCGUGAUCAAUACACCGCUUAUUUUCAAUAACAAUCUGUUUGGAAAGCUUUUGAGAUUCUACGACAGAAGGAAUGCUCAAAACUUACCCUGGUGCGAUUGCAUCAAUAAGAAAAGCCGCUAAUGUGUACAUGAGAAUGCCAAGGCUCAAAGAUACCUGAUAAAAAAGAGGAUGGUGUAAACGUAGGGGAAAAAAACCGGUUUUCAUUUGAGAUCUUGCUAAAAGAGGAUGAAAAAAAUGACUUAAAGAAACUGGAUUGGUCCAUUGAUUCCUGUAAGAAUUAACGGUGAGUUUUGCUCGAUGCUUCAGCUAGAAACUGUAUACCUCCAAGGAUUAUCAGAAAAAAUCCUGGUACAAUGGACGCAUAUCUACAAACUUUCGAACUUAGCGAAGAGCACCAUGAACUCGAUGCAUACCCGAACGCAUCUACGACAGGACCAACACCAAAUACAGCAGCAAGAACAAGCUCACGAACUAAUCCCUGUGAAGGGGUGAAGAAAAAACUCAGAAAUCUUGCAAAGAAUGAAAAACAUUUUUAACACGAGAGGGAUACAACAAGACUUACCAAGACUUUGCUAAGAGCAGUAGCACUUCCAGUCACUCCCGCUAGCUUCAAAAACUUACCACCGCCUUCUGAGAAGAAAAUAAUGUUGAGAAGAAACGACAAAGAGAAAGAAGAAAAACCUUCGGAGUCAUUCUCGUUGAGCUCAAACAAAGACGUAUUGCGAGAGCAUACCUGAGCAAUUAGUUUGCCGGAAACUAGAAGCCCACUUGAGAGGGAGGCCCUCCUACCGAGAGACAAGGAGCCUGGAGGCGAAAAACAUGAAUCAUCACAGCUUCGUUUCUUCUUACCUGGGCACUGACGAACCGAUCCAUUCGAGAGAAAGACCCACAAGUCGCUCACACCUCAAGAUGACCUUUCUCUCUCUGUUUCUCUCUCAAGAGGGUUUUGGACAAUAAGCUAUAUCGAUCAUUAAGAGAGUUUACUGAUUUCGAGAGUUCUCAUCCCAUUCUUACUCGUGACCUUUUUUCAUUUUCUUAUUUCAAUAAAGAUAUCGCAAGCUUGUUUGUAACACAUAUACGGCUGUGACGUAGACUUUUCCACCACCCCUGUUCUGGUUUAGGGCUCCGUCAUGAAGUGGUCCGACACGAAGAUUUCUGACAACGUACACGUUUGUUUUAAAACGUCAGUUCGCGGUCUUGUUUUCAAAGAAGUAAAUGGGUUGGUAUACGUUCUGACACAACAUACCAUACGUCUUUCUUAUGUCUGUAAACAAUGAAAAUGUGCUUUGUUGAUCAUUCAUUAAGAGAGUUUACUGAUUGAAUAAGAUGUACGAGAUGGUGGCGCAGUUGGUCAACACUUAGCUCGUUAGAAAUCCUGAGGUCUGAGGUCGAGAGUUCGAGCAUCUCUAAGAAAGAAUUUCGGGAUUAUUAUUAUUAUUUUUACAUUUUUUCUUUUUUUGGUUUGCUUAACUGAUGGUAAUGGAUAUAUUUAGAAUAUGUUUGGAUAUUCAAAGAUAUUCUACCAUCUAACGGUCAUUAUUUAUUCAGAUUAAUGUAUUUAUAAUUUACAAACAUGUUUAUAAUUUAUAAACUUGCUUAAACACUUUCUAGUAUAUUAUUUUUAAUUCUACCAUCGAUAAUCUUGUAUUUAUAAAUUAUAAACAUGUUUAUAAUUAUAAACUUUUAUUUGAUCAAUUAAAUUAAUAAGUAAAAAUAACACUACUAUUAAACAAACUAAACAUUACUACAUGCAUUGCAUAACAAAUUAUUUUCAAUAAAGGUCUGUGUUGUUGCAGAAAGCUUGUUUGUAACACUUUAUAACUCAGACACUGUUCCACAGACUGGAUGGCUUUUUAGCACCCUUGUCUGAAAGCUUCAUAAUGGACAAAUCAAACUAUUCAAAGACAACUCUUUUGCACUCCACGGAUUGGUAUGGCAUCCUUAUCCUGAGCUGGCUUGCGCCAGUAUGAGCACAUGUAGUUUCUGACCCAUUGGUACCACAUGGUACCACAUGUUUUUCUUAUGUCUGCUCUGGAAUAUUAUUUCAGAAGUUAUAGAAACAACAUAUGGCAGCUUGAAAUCGUGGGCUGCUAUAAAACCCAGGGUAAAAUCUUCAAGCAGCACACAAGAAUGGCUUCUUCAGGAAUUUUCUUCUUUGUUCUUUUUGUUCUCUAUGUUUCUACAGGUAUCAUCUAUCGUCCUUUGAGUGCAUCUUUAAUGUCAUAUAAAUCUCUGUUUUGUGUGUGUAGCCGCUGCCCAAAACGUGCAUUUUGGUUAUGGAGUUUAUCUUCCCACCACGGAUCUGGGAUCUCCGUUGAGGACCCUGAGGCCUAUUUUCAACGAGAGAGCUAACGACUUCUUGCUGACCGAGAAAUAUACCUCUGUCACAAACAACCAUGCCCACACUAGUAACAACCAAGAGCUCUACAGAUCAGUAAGCUAUGCAACGGUACCAGUUCCUAAUCUGAUCGGUGGUUUGCAUUGUGAUCACAGUUUGGAGUUACGUUUGCGAUGAACGUUCCUAUAAAAGUUCUGCAGCUUAACAUCGAGGCAUCGUUCAACAAGAUUGCGGGGAGCAAGACAAGCGUCAAGACCACCUCCGUGUUUGUGGAGUCAUACAACCAGAGGAUCUACCUCCGGAACCAUGCAAGGACCGUCCAAACCCUCCCACUCAACUCUGAUUUCCUCAGUGACUUGCGCAACCUUCCCGAGCCACCCAACUCCGACAGCGCUUGGGGGCCAUACCGAUCCUUCUUGAACAAGUGGGGAACACACUACGUGUCCGAGACGUUCCACGGCUCAUGGCUGCGCCAGUGGACCGUGGCCUCCUCCACGGCGACGUUCACCCAGCGCCAAAUGCAGGCCAAAGCCUGUGCCAAGCUCACCGGCCUCAAGGGAGUCCUCCCCAACUUGGAGGGCUGCGCGGGGAUCACUCUUGACGACAUGCGCGCCGCGGAGAGGAUCGACACGCAAGACACUCGAGAGGCCCGGGGUGGAUCCUCCGCCACCGUCUCGCAGCUGCUCUCGGGUAACAUAACCAACGAUCUCAUCCGGAAGUUCAUCGAGGAGGGAGCCACGAGCAAGGAAGCAGUACGCUACGGCUUCGUUCCAGUGUGGGUGCCCGUCUUGUCUCAGUACAUGUCGUCCGCGUCCAAGGAGUGGAGAGUGGCGACGGCGCUCCAGGCUUACUAUGAAGGCUUCCUCGCCUUCAAGUGUCCCCUGGAGCGGCUCAACACACCCGCGACUGUCUUGCAGCAGUUUCGAAGGCACAGCAAUGGCAAGUAUCAGUGCGUUCGCCAGUGCCAGGGCUGCAGGCUUGACAAGGAUUGCAACCUUAGUGGUGCAUCUGGAUGCUACUGCUACGGUAACUCGUGCAUCAACGCUCUGGGACCGGAUGGCCGGGCUCAGGUUCAGCCGCAGAAGGAUAACCUCGACCGUAAUGUGCUGCCUAACAGGUCGUGUGAGUACAACUUUCCUCAGUGCCGCUGCAACACUAAAUCCAAAGAGCCGAACUGUGGUGCUGACAACAUGAUUCCGAUAUGGGACCAGGGUCAGAACAGCAUUGCGAUCGAUUCAGACAUCCUUCUUUAUGACGAAGAAUGAGCCAGACAUGAUUGUGUGUUUGUUGGUUGUGAUUUGCAUUGCAUUACGUCUCUACAAUAACAUGCAUCUCUAUGUAUAUUUUGCAUGGUUGUGUGUGGUUUGUAUUUAACAGUCCUGUGUUUUCAAAAAGAAUAAAUAAAAAGACGCAAUAUCGACAGCUGUGUACACUGUGUAGGUGAAGGAUGUCUUCCAUGUAUUAUAUGAGCUCCCCAAGACAUGCACACCUCAGCUGGAAGACCUGGGAUCAAGUAACUCUCCUGAGCGGGAUCCAGCAGUUGCAAAGAGUGGCCUAAAAUGGAGCGGCUACGAUUUGCUACUUGACCAGGUUCGUGUGACUGCUUUGGAAGCUAACUCAGCUCUGGUUUGUUUCUCAGUGAACACACGUACUUGGACAAGGUGCUACCUUCGAAGGAGUUUUGACAACGUCUUGAUAAGUCAUUGCCGUGCGUUCUCAACUGUAAGUUUUCUAAGCUCUUUACACUUGGUUUUUGUUUUUUCAGCGCUGUACAUGAGCCAAGCAGCUCUCUUACGACAUGGUCGCGCGCUAUACCAAUCAUUCGAGAAGGACCCGAAGCGCCAGAGCAUGGGGAUCGGGAGUUGAUGAGCUCCGACCAGAUUGAAGGAUCCAUUGACCUCUUCCUCUAGGUGCACGCACGGGUCAUGCUCUUCUUGGUCCUGUCUAUCAUGCCGUCCAGGAAUCCAUCGAUUUAGCUUGGCAUCAUGUUCUAAAGAGGAGAAUAUUGGCGAUCAUGGUGUGGAGGAGACCAUUGUGACACGAUCAAGGCUAAGAUUAGAAUUGCUUGCUCGCAAUUGGGAUUUUAGCUUGAAAUCGGGCCUUGUGUGGGGAGAACAACAAAAAGAAAAGCAUUUGCACUCACGAAAUGAGGAGACCACCGUCAUGCUUGUGAAGCUUGUCAUUUCAUUGCCUGCUCGAUGACAAAGUUUGCACCUGCGCAGCAUGUAUUUGCAGGUCCCGGCUGGUAAGCCAUCUUUCAAGUCAGUCCUGCUCUCAAGUCAAGUGUUUUAAACUGAAUCACAAAAGGAAAGUCUGCCUUAACCAGCUUCGAUUUACCUCCUGCUUGGAUCUCUCGCAGAUGAAGCAACUCCUUUUCAACCUUGAUCCAGCUAAGUUCCUCGGACAGCUGUGUUGAUACAUAUUUCCGACAGUCUGCAACAUGAAAAAGAAGAAAAUCUACACAAUUUUUGGGUGAGAAGAAUUAAGUACCUUGAAGAAAGCCUCCUUCUGGGGCACCAGCUUACAUCAACAAGCGUGGAGCCUCCACUCCGUUUCAAAAACUCCGCAACAGUCAUGCGCUAAAUUUUGGGAUGCCUGAGAAGGUUGCACCGUCGUCUAAAAGCUGCAACAAAAGGAAGCAACCGGAAGUUUGAUCAUCUGAGGAGCCGGUGUUGUGAGCUUCUCCAAAAGCUUUGGUUGUCAGGCCCAUCUAGAAUUUUACGUAGCGGUGCCAUUGAAGUGGCCAUUACCUGGAGCACGAGAGAGAGAGAGAGAGAGAGAGAGAGAGAGAGAGAGAGAGCGAGCCGGUGUUGUGAGCUUCUCCAAAAGCUUUGGUUGUCAGGCCCAUCUACGUAGCGGUGCCAUUGAAGUGGCCAUUACCUGGAGCACGAGAGAGAGAGAGAGAGAGAGAGAGAGAGAGAGUUUCCACAAAGUUUUCCAACGAGCAGCCAGUCCAAGAGAGCGUUAGAUGGCAGCCAAGCUCACGUAAAAUCGAGAUCGCCAAGAGCGUAGAAAAUACGUUCAAGGAGGUCGCAAGUAGAGGCCAUCGCAUCUAAGAUCGAUUGAAGAAGAAAGGAUGAAAACCAGCGAUCGAAACGAGAAAAAAGGAGAACUUACAGUGCUUGACGAGCAAUGAUACGGCUUGAGCGGCGGAGUCGCCAAAUGUGUAGCACUGGACGAGAGCUCGGACGAUCGGCUUAGCGAGAGGGAUCGCGAGACCGGUCAUUAAAAGCAUGCAAAGCUUGAUGCCUCGAUCAUCUUGAGCAAAGAUCUGAUUGAUCCAAAAGAAAAACUUAAACGCGAGAAGUAUCGAAAGAGUUACUUCAACCUGCAAAAGCCAUUGAGCCAAAGCUCCCACUGUCGAGGCCAAAACGAGCAAAACACCUCCUGUCAAGCACCACUUUGUAUGAAUCGACUUUAAAGCUCAAGGCAAUGAGGAUUGCAAAGCUUGCAAUGAAUUGCAGCCUGCAUGGAUCCAAGAACACAGUCAAGAACACACGAAUCUUUUGUCUUGUAACCAAAACUUACAGCGAGAAUGAUCGAUAUGCUUGAUAGAGCAGGACUCAAGGAUGCAAUCCCGUAUCUUCCCGAGACACUGCACACGAAACCCAUUCCAAAGUUUGGCUACAAACUGGACGUGAAAGCUCGGUCAAAACUUCCACAGCCGAUUCCCAUCAAGCACGCCAGUGUUACACAAGGCGCCAUGAUUCUCAGCUGGAUCAAGAGGAUGGUUUUUGCAACUUGAGAGUUUUUCUUCUUCUGAAGCUACCUGAAGUAUAGCCAUGCUUCUCGUGAUCAAUCCACUGCUUGUUUUCAAUAACAAUCUGUUUGGAAAGCUUUUCAGAUUCUACGACAGAAGGAAUGCCGAAAACUUACCCUGUUGUGAUUGCAUCAAUAAGAAAAGCCGCUAAUGUGUACAUGAGAAUGCCAAGGCUCAAAGGUAUCUGAUAAAAAAGAGGAUGGUGUAAGCGUAGGGGAAAAAAACCGGUUUUCAUUUGAGAUCUUGCUAAAAGAGGAUGAAAAAAAUGACUUCAAGAAACUCGAAACAUACCUUAAGGCCGAUACCAUUGCUAUGUGGAUUGGUCCAUUGAUUCCUGUAAGAAUUAACGGUGAAUUUUGCUCGAUGCUUCAGCUAGAAACUGUAUACCUCCAAGGAUUAUCAGAAAAAAUCCUGGUACAAUGGACGCAUAUCUACAAACUUUCGAACUUAGCGAAGAGCACCAUGAACUCGAUGCAUACCCGAACGCAUCUACGACAGGACCAACACCAAAUACAGCAGCAAGAACAAGCUCACGAACUAAUCCCUGUGAAGGGGUGAAGAAAAAACUCAGAAAUCUUGCAAAGAAUGAAAAACAUUUUUAACACGAGAGGGAUACAACAAGACUUACCAAGACUUUGCUAAGAGCAGUAGCACUUCCAGUCACUCCCGCUAGCUUCAAAAACUUACCACCGCCUUCUGAGAAGAAAAUAAUGUUGAGAAGAAACGACAAAGAGAAAGAAGAAAAACCUUCGGAGUCAUUCUCGUUGAGCUCAAACAAAGACGUAUUGCGAGAGCAUACCUGAGCAAUUAGUUUGCCGGAAACUAGAAGCCCACUUGAGAGGGAGGCCCUCCUACCGAGAGACAAGGAGCCUGGAGGCGAAAAACAUGAAUCAUCACAGCUUCGUUUCUUCUUACCUGGGCACUGACGAACCGAUCCAUUCGAGAGAAAGACCCACAAGUCGCUCACACCUCAAGAUGACCUUUCUCUCUCUGUUUCUCUCUCAAGAGGGUUUUGGACAUCAAUGCGGCAAUAAGCUAUGUCGAUCAUUAAGAGAGUUUACUGAUUUCGAGAGUUCUCAUCCCAUUCUUACUCGUGACCUUUUUUCAUUUUCUUAUUUCAAUAAAGAUAUCGCAAGCUUGUUUGUAACACAUAUACGGCUGUGACGUAGACUUUUCCACCACCCCUGUUCUGGUUUAGGGCUCCGUCAUGAAGUGGUCCGACACGAAGAUUUCUGACAACGUACCGCACGUUUGUUUUAAAACACAUUAAACCGGUUCGCAGUCUUGUUUUCAAAGAAGUAAAUGGGUUGGUAUAAGUUUUGACACAACGUACCACACGUCUUUCUUAUGUUUGUAAACAAUGAAAAUGUGCUUUGUCGAUCAUUCAUUAAGAGAGUUUAUAAGAUGUAAAAGAUGGUGGCGCAGUUGGUCAACUCUUAGCUCCUGAGGUUUGAGGUCGAGAGUUCGAGCAUCUCUAAGAAAGAAUUUCGGGAUUAUUAUUAUUAUUAUUGCAUUUUUUCUUUUUUUUUUGGUUUGCUUAACCAAAGAGGAUGGUAAUGGAUAUUUAGAAUAUGCUUGGAUAUUCAAAGAUAUUCUACCAUCUAACAGUAGUUAUUUAUUCAGAUUAAUCUUGUAGUUAUAAAUUACAAACAUGUUUAUAAUUAUAAACUUUUAUUUGAUCAAUUAAAUCAAUAAGUAGAAAUAACACUACUAUGUGAGUGCUUGGAAUAUAGAAAGGGAAUACAGAAAUGUGCAUAUCAAUUAGCCUAAAAACCCUAGCUUAUAUACAGGAGCGAGUGGUCCGGAUUGAAACUAAUCCGACGCCUACCAAAAUCCCACUACACUAAUAUUAGUAUACGGCAUCGUAGCCGUACACUUGGCCCUCACAUCAUCCCCCCCUCUCAGGAUAAUGGAAAACCAUCAGGGUUCUCUUGUAGACGGGCCGGGAUCUAGAGGAACAUCAGGAGGCAUUGGCGGAUCUGUAAAUGGUAUUAACUGCUUCUGAUCCCUUUGUAUGAAGCGUUUUAACCGCUAGACAUGCACAAUCUCUGGAGGAUCGGCCUGCUAGACGUCAUGCCGAACCUAAUAAACUUGUGGUCCAACUUGCCACAACACCCGAUACGGUCCUUUCCACUGUGCAAGGAACCCUUUAAAUAAACCACGUACCGUAAGAUGGGGAAAACAAACUAACACCAAAUCAUCCACUUUGUACUCCGUAGGUGGACGAUGAUGGGAGUUGUACCACCGUUGUUGUCCCACUUGUACGUGGCCUAAGUAUUUGGUAGACUCUGCUCGGACAAGUGGAAAAAUGCUCGUCAAAUAUUGAUCCCAUGACCUAGCAUUUGUAGCUUGUGGCAAUCGCGAAGGUAAACCCAGCUCCGUUGGUAAUAUUGGAUCAUGACCAUAUAAGAGUUUAUAUGGUGAAGCACCAACAGAACUCUGCACCCCAAUGACAUAUGCAUACCGAAGAGACGGCAAAUAACCAUCCCAAUCCAAAUGCUGAAAGUUCACAUACUUCGCAAUCAUCCCCUUGAACGUCUGAACGAGCCAUUCCACCAGACCGUCUGAUUGUGGAUGAUAAGCACUCGUGAAAGUGUGGCGAAUCCCCAACCGAGAUGUCAAAACAUGAAACGCCUCAGCCAUAAAAGCGGGACCAUUAUCCGAAAGAAUCCGCUCUGGACAAGAAUGUUGGAACACCACUCGAUUGAGGAGGAAGUAUCCAACAGCAGUUGCAGAGGCACUAGCAAGAGCACCAACUUCCACCCAACGAGUCAAAUAGUCAGAAGCAAUAAUAACAUACUCAUUGCCAGCAAUUGACCGUGGAGAAGGUCCCAUAAGAUCAAACGCCACCAAUUCAAACGGACGAGAAACUGCAAUUGACUCCAACCGUCCUUCCGCAGUCCGAGGGGGAGUAUUACGAGCUUGGCACCAAACACAACUACGCACAUACCGGAUAAUAUCAUGUCGCAUCUCCGGCCAAUAGAAAGACCUACGUAGCUUCUCGAUUACACAACGAUGUCCCAUAUGCCCACCUAGAACAGGAGAAUCAUGGUAGGCAUGGAGAAACCGCGGAAUAAAGAUAGAAGGCACCACCAGCCGUAAAUGAUCAUCAGGAUUUGUCCCCAUAAAACAAAGAAGGCCACCUUCAAGACGAUAUUGAGAAUGUAAAUGCCGGAAAGGUAAGUCAUCAGUAAGUGAUGUAGGAUUCUCAAACCCAUCUCGAAGCCUUCGAAUUCAUGGCUCAAUCNNNNNNNNNNNNNNNNNNNNNNNNNNNNNNNNNNNNNNNNNNNNNNNNNNNNNNNNNNNNNNNNNNNNNNNNNNNNNNNNNNNNNNNNNNNNNNNNNNNNNNNNNNNNNNNNNNNNNNNNNNNNNNACAACAGGCUCGUCAAAAACAUGAGAAGAGAAUGAAGACUGGCGACUGCAUGGAUUUGGCGACUGCAUGGAGCCAAGAACACAGUCAAGAACACACGAAUCUUUUGUCUUGUAACCAAAACUUACAGCGAGAAUGAUCGAUAUGUUUGAUAGAGCAGGACUCAAGGAUGCAAUCCCGUAUCUUCCCGAGACACUGCACACGAAAACCCAUUCCAAGUUUGGCUACAAACUGGACGAGAAAACUUCGUCAAAACUUCCACAGCCGAUUCCCAUCAAGCACGCGAGUGUUACACAAGGCGCCAUGAUUCUUAGCUAGAGGUUUUCUUCUUCUGAAGCUACCUGAAGUAUAGCCUUCUCGUGAUCAAUCCACCGCUUGUUUUCAAUAACAAUCUGUUUGGAAAGCUUUUGAGAUUCUACGACAGAAGGAAUGCUCAAAACUUACCCUGGUGCGAUUGCAUCAAUAAGAAAAGCCGCUAAUGUGUACAUGAGAAUGCCAAGGCCCAAAGAUAUCUGAUAAAAAGAGGAUGGUGUAAAGGUAGGGGAAAAAAACUGGUUUUCAUUUACCACAAACAUAGCAUGCGAAGUUCUUCCAAUAAGUUCUCGUUUUCUGUCUUCUUCAGCGAUCUUGCUAAAAGAGGAUGAAAAAAAUGACUGAAAGAAACUCGAAACAUACCUUAGGGCCGAUACCAUUGCUAUGUGGAUUGGUCCAUUGAUUCCUGUAAGAAUUAACGAUGAGUUUUGCUCGACGCUUCAGCUAGAAACUGUAUACCUCCAAGGAUUAUCAGAAAAAAUCCUGGUACAAUGGACGCAUAUCUACAAACUUUCGAACUUAGCAAAGAGAACCAUGAACUCGAUGUAUACCUGAACGCAUCUACGACAGGACCAACACCAAAUACAGCAGCAAGAACAAGCUCACGAACUAAUCCCUGGAAGGGGUGAAGAAAAAACUCAAAAGUCUUGCAAAGAAUGAAAAACAUUUUUAACACGAGAGGGAUACAACAAGACUUACCAAUACUUUGCUAAGAGCAGUAGCACUUCCAAUCACUCCCGAGAAGAAAAUAAUGUUGAGAAGAAACGAACAAAGAGAAAAGAAGAAAAACCUUUGGAGUCAUUGUCGUUGAGCUCAAACAAAGACGUAGCCCGAAUCCUUGCGAGAGUCUUCGUUUCUAGCAUAACUGAGCACUUAGUUUGCCGGAAACUAGAAGCCCACUUGAGAGGGAGGCCCUCCUACCGAGAGACAAGGAGGCGAAAAACAUGAAUCAUCACAGCUUCGUUUCUUCUUACCUGGGCACAUUCGAGAGAAAGACCCACAACUCAUCUCAAGAUGACCUCUCUCUCUCUCUCUCUCAAGAGGGUUUUGGACAUCAAUGCGGCAAUAAGCUAUGUUGAUCAUUAAGAGAGUUUACUGAUUAGAAAAAUUGUAAGGGAUGGUCAGCGCGUAGAAAUUCUGAGGUCGAGAGUUCCAUUUUUACUCGAGACCUUUUUUCAUUUUUUUUAUUUCAAUAAAGAUACCGCAAGCUUGUUUGUUAUAUAAGUUUUUAACUAUAUAAGUACUUCAUAACUCAGACACUGUUCCACGGCUGUGACGUCAUGUUAGAACUUUUCCCUGUUCUGAUUUAGGACCAUUUCUCGAUUUGUGCGUGUCAUCCUUGGGCCAUGCUAAUCUUCUUUGCCUUGUUCUGGUCUGGUGGGGUUGGGACAUUGACAGCGUACCACACUUUUUUUUUAAAACACUAGAGACAACGUCGGGGUUAAUCACACACGUUUUACUUAUGUCUGUAAACAACAUACGGCAGCUUGAAAUCCUGGGUUGCUAUAAAACCCAGGGUAAAAUCUUCAAGCAGCACACAAGAAUGGCUUCUUCAGGAAUUUUCUUCUUUGUUCUUUUUGUUCUCUAUGUUUCUACAGGUAUCAUCUAUCGUCCUUUGAGUGCAUCUUUGAUGUCAUAUAAAUCUCUGUUUUGUGUGUGUAGUCGCUGCCCAAAACGUGCAUUUUGGUUAUGGAGUUUAUCUUCCCACCACGGAUCUGGGAUCUCCGUUGAGGACCCUGAGGCCCAUUUUCAACGAGAGAGCUAACGAAUUCCUGCUGACCGAGAACUAUACCUCUGUCAAAAACAACCAUGCCCACACUAGUAACAACGAAGAGCUCUACAAAUCAGUAAGCCAUGCAACAGUGGCAGUUCCUAAUCUGAUCGGUUGAUCACAGUUUGGAGUUACGUUUGGGAUGAACGUUCCUAUAAAAGUUCUGCAGCUUAACAUCGAGGCAUCGUUCAACAAGAUUGCGGGGAGCAAGACAAGCAUCAGGACCACCUCCGUGUUUGUGGAGUCAUACAACCAGAGGAUCUACCUCCGGGACCAUAGAAGGGCCAUCCAAACCCUCCCACUCAACUCUGAUUUCCUCAGUGACUUGCGCAACCUUCCCGAGCCACCCAGCUCCGACAGCGCUUGGGGGCCAUACCAAUCCUUCUUGAACAAGUGGGGAACGCACUACGUGGCCGAGAUGUUCCACGGCUCAUGGCUGCGCCAGUGGACCGUGGCCUCCUCCACGGCGACGUUCACCCAGCGCCAAAUGCAGGCCAAAGCCUGUGCCAAGCUCACCGGCCUCAAGGGAGUCCUCCCCAACAUGGAGGGCUGCGCGGGGAUCACUCUUGAGGAGAUGCGCGCCGCGGAGGGGAUCAACACGCAAGACACUCGAGAGGCCCGGGGUGGAUCGUCCGCCACCGUCUCGCAGCUGCUCUCGGGUGACAUAACCAACGAUCUCAUCCGGAAGUUCAUCGAGGAGGGAGCCACGAGCAAGGAAGCAGUACGCUACGGCUUCUUUCCAGUGUGGGUGCCCGUCUUGUCUCAGUACAUGUCGUCCGCGUCCAAGGAGUGGAGAGUGGCGACGGCGCUCCAGGCUUACUAUGAAGGCUUCCUCGCCUUCAAGUGUCCCCUGGACCAGCUCAACACACCCGCGACUGUCUUGCAGCAGUUUCGGAGGCUCAGCAAUGGCAAGUAUCAGUGCGUUCGCCAGUGCCAGGGCUGCAGGCUUGACAAGGAUUGCAACCUUAGUGGUGUAUCUGGAUGCUACUGCUACGGUAACUCGUGCAUCAACGCUCUGGGACCGGAUGGCCGAGCUCAGGUUCAGCGGCAGAAGGAUAACCUCGACCGUAAUGUGCUGCCUAACAGGUCGUGUGAGUACAAGUUUCCUCAGUGCCGCUGCAACACCAAAUCCAAAGAGGCGAACUGUGGUGCUGACAACAUGAUUCCGAUAUGGGACCAGGGUCAGAACAGCAUUGCGAUCGAUUCAGACAUCCUUCUUUAUGACGAAGAAUGAGCCAGACAUGAUUGUGUUUGUUGUUUGUGAUUUGCAUUGCAUUACGUCUCUACAAUAACAUGCAUCUCUAUGUAUAUUUUGCAUGGUUGUGUGUGGUUUGUAUUUAACAGUCCUGUGUUUUCAAAAAGAAUAAAUAAAAAGACGUUAAGUUAUACAAUAUCGGCAGCUGUGUACACUGUGUAGGUGAAGGAUGUCUUCCAUGUACUAUAUGAGCUCCCCAAGACAUGCACAUCUCAGCUGGAAGACCUUUCUGUCCUGGCAUGAGCGGGAUCAAGUAACUCUCCUGAGCAGGAUCCAGCAGUUGCAAAGAGUGGCCUAAACUGGAGCAGCUGCGAUCAAGACCUGGUGGCAAAUCGUGUAUAAUUUAAUUAUCACUAAACUGUUGAAAUUUUAUUUUAUUUUUAAACAAACUUGUAGGGAUAUAUAUAGAAUAUCCUUGGAUAUUCGAAGAUAUUCUACCAUCAAACAAAUUAAUUAUGUAUUUAUAAUUCAUAAACUUUCUUAAACAAUUUUUUAUUUGCUUAAGCAAACCGAGGUAGUAGUGAUACCUAAAAUAUGCUUGAAUAUUCUAGAAUAUUCUACCAUCUAACGGUUGUUAUUCAUUUAGAUUAAUUUAAGAACGUGUUUAUAAUUUAUAAACUUUCCUAAAGUAUAUUCUAAACUUCUAUUUUAUCAAUUAAAUUAAUAAAUAAAAUAAUAUUACUAUUAAGUAAAUCAAAUAUUGCUGCAAGCAACAUGCAGCAAAUUAGUAGCAUAUUCUAGUUUAUUUUACCACUUAAAUUAAUUUUGUAGCUAUAAAAUAUAAACAUGUUUUUAAUUAUAAACUUCCAUUUAGAUUAAUAAAUAGGAAUAACACUAUUAUUAAACAAACCAAAAGUUAGAGGGCUAUAAUGGUGGAUAAAACAUAGGGUUUAGUUUCAUUCCUCCAACAGCAAUGGCUGGGUCCAGCCAGGACGAGAGUGGCUAUUUUCCUUCUGACUGGUCGCAGCCAAGGCUUCGAUGCAAUGGUGCUGUAUUAUCACUUAGAAGUAAUAUAAACCUGUUAGUGUUUACUGUUUAUUAACAUUCACUAAGCAUUAGAUAAAAGAAAACCAAAACAGGAAGCUAGGAUUUAUAAUUUCACCAAUAGAUGAUUUUUAAGUUUGAAUUGAUCAGUCAUCUUUUGCUCAAAAUAUCUCAAUUAAUUUCUUAUUCAACCCACGGUCCAAAUUACCAAGUCACUUUUUGUAUGCCUACCAUGCAUAUAAAAAUACAUAUUUUCUCAAAAUCUAGAAUGUUCUAGUGCAUCGAAUCGCUUAUGUCCUCCUGCUUGCGCUCACUAGGGAACGCUCGUGGGCUUUAACAUACCAGUAGUACGUCAGAGCAGCCACUUUUGGCGAUUCAUGAGAGGUUGCAACUUUCUGACGAGAACCAGGAAUUCUUUGACGGGAAGGAGAUUCUUCUUCGAAUAUUGAUACGGAAGGCCGCUUUGCAAAAGACUUUUGAGCCGUGAUCUCCAGGCCGGUUGAAAUCCUCGGUCAAGAGAAAGUUCUGGUACAGAAGUCAGAAGAAGAGGGGGCGUUGGCUCGGCCGCCAAGAGCUUUGUACCAAAAAGCCNNNNNNNNNNNNNNNNNNNNNNNNNNNNNNNNNNNNNNNNNNNNNNNNNNNNNNNNNNNNNNNNNNNNNNNNNNNNNNNNNNNNNNNNNNNNNNNNNNNNUGCGAUAGAAAAGCCUCUAAAUCUCAGCUGCUAUCAGCUCACGAAACCCAUUCCAAAGUUUGGCUACAAACUGGACGUGAAAGCUCGGUCAAAACUUCCACAGCCGAUUCCCAUCAAGCACGCCAGUGUUACACAAGGCGCCAUGAUUCUCAGCUGGAUCAAGAGGAUGGUUUUUGCAACUUGAGAGUUUUUCUUCUUCUGAAGCUACCUGAAGUAUAGCCAUGCUUCUCGUGAUCAAUCCACUGCUUGUUUUCAAUAACAAUCUGUUUGGAAAGCUUUUCAGAUUCUACGACAGAAGGAAUGCCGAAAACUUACCCUGUUGUGAUUGCAUCAAUAAGAAAAGCCGCUAAUGUGUACAUGAGAAUGCCAAGGCUCAAAGGUAUCUGAUAAAAAAGAGGAUGGUGUAAGCGUAGGGGAAAAAAACCGGUUUUCAUUUGAGAUCUUGCUAAAAGAGGAUGAAAAAAAUGACUUCAAGAAACUCGAAACAUACCUUAAGGCCGAUACCAUUGCUAUGUGGAUUGGUCCAUUGAUUCCUGUAAGAAUUAACGGUGAAUUUUGCUCGAUGCUUCAGCUAGAAACUGUAUACCUCCAAGGAUUAUCAGAAAAAAUCCUGGUACAAUGGACGCAUAUCUACAAACUUUCGAACUUAGCGAAGAGCACCAUGAACUCGAUGCAUACCCGAACGCAUCUACGACAGGACCAACACCAAAUACAGCAGCAAGAACAAGCUCACGAACUAAUCCCUGUGAAGGGGUGAAGAAAAAACUCAGAAAUCUUGCAAAGAAUGAAAAACAUUUUUAACACGAGAGGGAUACAACAAGACUUACCAAGACUUUGCUAAGAGCAGUAGCACUUCCAGUCACUCCCGCUAGCUUCAAAAACUUACCACCGCCUUCUGAGAAGAAAAUAAUGUUGAGAAGAAACGACAAAGAGAAAGAAGAAAAACCUUCGGAGUCAUUCUCGUUGAGCUCAAACAAAGACGUAUUGCGAGAGCAUACCUGAGCAAUUAGUUUGCCGGAAACUAGAAGCCCACUUGAGAGGGAGGCCCUCCUACCGAGAGACAAGGAGCCUGGAGGCGAAAAACAUGAAUCAUCACAGCUUCGUUUCUUCUUACCUGGGCACUGACGAACCGAUCCAUUCGAGAGAAAGACCCACAAGUCGCUCACACCUCAAGAUGACCUUUCUCUCUCUGUUUCUCUCUCAAGAGGGUUUUGGACAUCAAUGCGGCAAUAAGCUAUGUCGAUCAUUAAGAGAGUUUACUGAUUUCGAGAGUUCUCAUCCCAUUCUUACUCGUGACCUUUUUUCAUUUUCUUAUUUCAAUAAAGAUAUCGCAAGCUUGUUUGUAACACAUAUACGGCUGUGACGUAGACUUUUCCACCACCCCUGUUCUGGUUUAGGGCUCCGUCAUGAAGUGGUCCGACACGAAGAUUUCUGACAACGUACCGCACGUUUGUUUUAAAACACAUUAAACCGGUUCGCAGUCUUGUUUUCAAAGAAGUAAAUGGGUUGGUAUAAGUUUUGACACAACGUACCACACGUCUUUCUUAUGUUUGUAAAACAAUGAAAUGUGCUUUGUCGAUCAUUCAUUAAGAGAGUUUAUAACAUGUACAAGAUGGUGGCGCAGUUGGUCAACUCUUAGCUCCUGAGGUUUGAGGUCGAGAGUUCGAGCAUCUCUAAGAAAGAAUUUCGGGAUUAUUAUUAUUAUUUUUGCAUUUUUUCUUUUUUUUUUGGUUUUCUUAACCAAAGAGGAUGGUAAUGGAUAUUUAGAAUAUGCUUGGAUAUUCAAAGAUAUUCUACCAUCUAACAGUCGUUAUUUAUUCAGAUUAAUCUUGUAUUUAUAAAUUACAAACAUGUUUAUAAUUAUAAACUUUUAUUUGAUCAAUUAAAUCAAUAAGUAGAAAUAACACUACUAUGUGAGUGCUUGGAAUAUAGAAAGGGAAUACAGAAAUGUGCAUAUCAAUUAGCCUAAAAACCCUAGCUUAUAUACAGGAGCGAGUGGUCCGGAUUGAAACUAAUCCGACGCCUACCAAAAUCCCACUACGCUAAUAUUAGUAUAUGGCAUCGUAGCCGUACACUUGGCCCUCACAUCAUCCCCCCCUCUCAGGAUAAUGGAAAACCAUCAGGGUUCUCUUGUAGACGGGCCGGGAUCUAGAGGAACAUCAGGAGGCAUCGGCAGAUCUGUAGAUGGUAUUAACUGCUUCUGAUCCCUUUGUAUGAAGCGUUUUAACCACUACACAUGCACAAUCUCUGGAGGAUCGGCCUGCUAGACGUCAUGCCGAACCUAAUAAACUUGUGGUCCAACUUGCCACAACACCCGAUACGGUCCUUUCCACUGUGCAAGGAACCCUUUAAAUAAACCACGUACCGUAAGAUGGGGAAAACAAACUAACACCAAAUCAUCCACUUUGUACUCCGUAGGUGGACGAUGAUGGGAGUUGUACCACCGUUGUUGUCCCACUUGUACGUGGCCUAAGUAUUUGGUAGACUCUGCUCGGACAAGUGGAAAAAUGCUCGUCAAAUAUUGAUCCCAUGACCUAGCAUUUGUAGCUUGUGGCAAUCGCGAAGGUAAACCCAGCUCCGUUGGUAAUAUUGGAUCAUGACCAUAUAAGAGUUUAUAUGGUGAAGCACCAACAGAACUCUGCACCCCAAUGACAUAUGCAUACCGAAGAGACGGCAAAUAACCAUCCCAAUCCAAAUGCUGAAAGUUCACAUACUUCGCAAUCAUCCCCUUGAACGUCUGAACGAGCCAUUCCACCAGACCGUCUGAUUGUGGAUGAUAAGCACUCGUGAAAGUGUGGCGAAUCCCCAACCGAGAUGUCAAAACAUGAAACGCCUCAGCCAUAAAAGCGGGACCAUUAUCCGAAAGAAUCCGCUCUGGACAAGAAUGUUGGAACACCACUCGAUUGAGGAGGAAGUAUCCAACAGCAGUUGCAGAGGCACUAGCAAGAGCACCAACUUCCACCCAACGAGUCAAAUAGUCAGAAGCAAUAAUAACAUACUCAUUGCCAGCAAUUGACCGUGGAGAAGGUCCCAUAAGAUCAAACGCCACCAAUUCAAACGGACGAGAAACUGCAAUUGACUCCAACCGUCCUUCCGCAGUCCGAGGGGGAGUAUUACGAGCUUGGCACCAAACACAACUACGCACAUACCGGAUAAUAUCAUGUCGCAUCUCCGGCCAAUAGAAAGACCUACGUAGCUUCUCGAUUACACAACGAUGUCCCAUAUGCCCACCUAGAACAGGAGAAUCAUGGUAGGCAUGGAGAAACCGCGGAAUAAAGAUAGAAGGCACCACCAGCCGUAAAUGAUCAUCAGGAUCUGUCCCCAUAAAACAAAGAAGGCCACCUUCAAGACGAUAUUGAGAAUGUAAAUGCCGGAAAGGUAAGUCAUCAGUAAGUGAUGUAGGAUUCUCAAACCCAUCUCGAAGCCUUCGAAUUCAUGGCUCAAUCUUUUGAGCCUCGCGAACCUCAUCAAGAGAAGGUAGAUCUUGCUCUGCAUCUUGUGGACACUGAACGUCAAGUAUAACAACCGCCGACGGCACAGAAUCCUCGUCUAGAAAAUCCACAGAUGCUGGAACAACAGGCUCGUCAAAAACAUGAGAAGAGAAUGAAGAAGGAAGAAGAGCUCGAGAAAGGGCAUCAGCAUCAGCCAUAGAACUCCCUGGGCGGUGAACAACAUCAAAAUUAUAUAUCUGAAGCUUCAAAGCCCACCGAGCAAUACGACCAACCAAGUUCUUUCGCUUUAAUAACGAAGUAACAGCAGCAUGGUCACCUUCAAGUAACAUCCGAGAACCAUGUAAAUAUGUGUAAGCAACCAAAGGGAACGACUCGAGAGACGAUCCAUGGGGUUCAAAUAUAGAGGGAAAGGGCCCAUGAACAAGAGUGCACCCCCUUUUCCAAUCGGUUAAGGGUCUUGGGAUAGUUGGAGUUAAGCGUCCUUGGGUUUGAAUAGUACUGGGCUGGGUGACCUCCCAGGAAGUCCAAACUCAGAAGCUUACAUUUGGUAUCAGAGGGGUCUCAGGUCCGACUCUGUUGGUUGGCUAGGGGCAUCACACCACAUGUUGAUUGACAUCUGGCUGGUCCAGUUUGUUCCCGCUGGGCUCGACCCGAGGGGUAGGGUGUCAAGAGAGCGGGGCUCUCGGGAGAGCUGCGGCUCUCAGCUUCCGUUCACGAGGGCGUGAACUUGCAGGGAAGCGUGGUGGAUUGUAAGCAACCAAAGGGAACGACUUGAGAGACGAUCCAUGGGGUUCAAAUAUAAAGGGAAAGGGCCCAUGAAUAAGAGUGCACCCCCUUUUCCAAUCGGUUAAGGGUCUUGGGAUAUUUUGGAGUUAAGCGUCCUUGGGUUUGAAUAGUACUGGGCUGGGUGACCUUCCAGGAAGUCCAAACUCAAGAGCUUACAUUUGGUAUCAGAGGGGUCUCGGGUCCGACUCUGUUGGUUGGCUAGGGGAAUCACACCAUAUGUUGAUUGACAUCUGGCUGGUCCAGUUUGUUCCCGCUGGGCUCGACCCGAGGGGUAGGGUGUCAAGAGAGCGGGGCUCUCGGGAGAGCUGCAGCUCUCAGCUUCCGUUCACAAGGGCGUGAACUUGCAGGGAAGCGUGGUGGAUUGUAAGCAACCAAAGGGAACGACUCGAGAGACGAUCCAUGGGGUUCAAAUAUAGAGGGAAAGGGCCCAUGAACAAGAGUGCACCCCCUUUUCCAAUCGGUUAAGGGUCUUGGGAUAUUUGGGGUUAAGCGUCCUUGGGUUUGAAUAGUACUGGGCUGGGUGACCUCCCGGGAAGUCCAAACUUAGGAGUUUACAAUAUGCAUGAAGUUUCUCGAAACCCCAAACUGCUGCUAAACACUCCUUCUCUGUCGUGGAGUAAUUCAUCUCCACUGGUUGUAAUGUACGGCUUAUAUAUAUGCAAUGAGAUGGUGCUAACCAGGCACACUCGAGCUCUCUUGCAUUAACACACCUCCAAGACCAAUGUCAGAAGCAUCCACGCGCAAAAUAAAAGGUCGAGUGUAGUCAGGAUAUGCCAAAACCGGAGGAGUUGUCAAUAACAUUUUGAGAUCCCCAAAUGCCCGCUCACAAUCAGGAGACCAGAUGAAAGAUGAUGUUGAUGACUUCAGCAACGCUUGCAAUGGUGCAGUGCGAUUAGAAAGAUGAUCCACAAAACGCCCGAGAUACUGCACCUUGCCCAAGAAACACUGCACAUCAUUCACACACUUCGGAGUAGGGAACUUUAGAACAGCCACAAGUUUGUCAGGAUCAACUUGCAAACCCUCACGAGAAAUACGGUACCCAAGAUAAGUUGUGUCCUUGGAUCCAAACACACACUUCGACCGCUUCAGCUUUAAACCAACGUCGCGUAGCCGAUCCAACACUUUACAAACAUCACGAACGUGCUCCUCCCACGUCCCUUCUGAGUGGAUCAAGACAUCAUCAAUGAAGUCAGCAGUCACCUCCGGCAUAUCGCAAAGACCCUCGUCCAUCAUCCGUUGAAAAGUUGCUGGAGCAUUGUUCAAACCAAAUGGCAUCACUAAGAACUCAUACAAACCAAAUGGUGUACGAAAAGCAGUCUUAGGAAUAUCUUCUUCGGCCAUCAGUACUUGCCAGUACCCAGAAGCAAGAUCUAGCUUGGUGAACCAACGACUUCGCCCCAGACGAUCCAAGAGAUCAGUAGUGUGAGGAAGAGGGUACACAUUCAGGAUCGUUACGUCGUUUAACAAACAAUAGUCAAUGCAGAAACGAAUACUCCCAUCAGGCUUCAUCACAAGAUGAGGUUCACAUGCCCAAGGACUUCGCGACUUCCGAAUAACACCCUUCUCCAACAUCUCCUGGACAUUUGCAUGUAAAAUCUUGAUCUCCUUUGGUGACCGACGACGAACAGGAACCUUGAUUGGAUGAGCAUCCCCAGUUGGAAUCGGAUGAUAUGUAGCAAUCUUGGCUCCAAACGAUAGGUCAAAGUCAAAGAGAUCAGAAUACUCCUUCAUGAGCCGGUCAAUUGCUGCAACACAAAGAUCGUCGGAGAAAUCGGAAAAGGGAAGAGCAGAACAAGAUGGAAACAUAGGAGGAAAUAGUGGGGGAACAAAAGUAAUGGAAGCAGAGGUAGAAGUAGAGGGACGAAGAGGUACGGAUGUGAGAGGAAUGGAGGAAACAUAAGGAAGUAUGAGACAAGGGGGAGAAGCCUCAAAGUCACACUUGGCAUGAUUGCACUGCAACCAAUCCAUACCAAGAAUAAGGUCAAAAGCUUGACUCGGCACCACCCGCAACGACUGCAACUCAAGCUCGAGAUCGCCCACACGCACAACCAGGUCUACCUCAUCCCAUGCACAUGCAUGUGUACGGCCGUUGCCAUAAAGAAUGAAAACUAGUUUUGCUGCACGACACAAGUGUAGACGACAACGUGUGGCAAUAGGUCGAGCAAUAGAAGAUAAACUCGAACUUGUAUCAACCAACACGGAGAGAAUAAUAGGAGACCUCUUGUUUUAAAGAUGAGCUUGGAAAGUAAACACUGGAUGAACUGGUGCCAAGUGAACCCCUUGAUGAUAUUCCCGAAAGAAAGAUGGAGGGGUCACUGACUUAUUCGCGCAAGGUCCCUCCAUUACUCGCGUGACUCCUCGUUUCUUGGAUUCAUCUUGGUGUCCAAACCUUCCAGCACCAACGGGACGUUGUUGACGCCAAGGUCUCCACCCAGGAAAUGGAGGUCGCCAAUCCGGAAAGUGCCGACAAUGCCGAUAAGUAUGACCAACUUCAUCACACGCCCAACAACGACAUCACGGCCACGACCACGUCCUUGUCCNNNNNNNNNNNNNNNNNNNNNNNNNNNNNNNNNNNNNNNNNNNNNNNNNNNNNNNNNNNNNNNNNNNNNNNNNNNNNNNNNNNNNNNNNNNNNNNNNNNNGAACCAUCACUCAUAGAAAGUGGAGUGGAAGGACGUGCAACGAGAAGUGGAAGAGGCGACAUCUCAUGACAUUGUGCCAAGCGAAAAGCAUCGUCAAGGGUGGCAGAAGCAAGUGCAUGCACAAGGCCGACAAGAUUUUGACGAAGUGCUGGCCACAACAUUCCUAGCUUGAUCCGCUCCGACAUAUUGGGCUCCGCACGAAGCAAAAGACUUCAGAAACGAACGCCAAAUUGCAUCACCGACUCAGAUGGCCCUUGGCGAAGACGAUGCAAUUGUUGGAAGGCAUCGUCACAAUCGUCGGCAUGUUCAAAGGCGCAUUUGAAGACGUCCGGAACAACACUCCAAUCCUCACGAGUGGCCGCACUCAAUCCAUUGUACCACUGCAACGCCGUCCCUUGGAGACAUGUGGGAAACUCACGUAAACGUCGAGCAUCAUCCCAAGAAUGAUAUGUGGCAAUCACCGUGAAGUGAUCAAACCAAUGGUACACAUCAUCCCCGGGAUUCCCACGAAAGAACUCCGGCUGAAUGCGAGGAUUGGCACCAAGAGCAGGAGGAGUUGGACCACGUGCCGUGAAUGCCGCCAUCAAUUGAGUUUGGUUGUUCAAUUGCAAGUGCAUAGCAUCAAGCAAUUGGACCAACUGCUACUCGAGAGUCAAAAGAGGAGAUUGCUAAUCUGCCAUGGAGACGAAUGAAAAAAAAAAAGAGCAAAAGAAGAUAAAUGACAAAAAGCUAGAAGGAAAUGGUAGAUCUAGACAAUGUUAAAAGCUAAAUCUAAACCAAAAUCCUGAAAGGAAAGAAUAAAAAGAAGGAAAUGGAAAAAGCUAGAUCUAGACAAUGCAAAAGCUAGAUCUAAACCAAAAUCUCAAAUCCAAGCACUCCUCAGGGACAAUCAAAGGUGCCCCUCACCUUCACCAAUGUGAAUGUUUGGAAUAUGGAAAAGGAAUAAAAGAAAUGUGCAUAUCAAUUAGCCUAAAAACCCUAACUUAUAUACAAGAGCGAGAGAUCCGGAUUGAAACUAAUCCAACGGCUACCAAAAUCCCACUACAUUAAUAUUAAUAUACGGCAUCGUAGCCAUACACUUGGCCCUCACAACUACUAUUAAACAAACUAAACAUUACUACAUGCACUGCAUAACAAAUUAUUUUCAAUAAAGGUCUGUAUUGUUGCAAGAAGCUUGUUUGUAACACUUUAUAACUCAAACACUGUUCCACAGACUAGAUGGCUUUUUAGCACCCUUGUCUGAAAGCUUCAUAACCAACAAAUCAAACUAUUCAACAACAACUCUUUUGCACUUGACAGAUUGGCACGGCAUCCUUAUCUUGAGAUGAGUAUAUGUUAUGAAACUGAGCACUGACCCAUAUGGUAUCACAUCGUACCACACGUUUUUCUUAUGUCUGUAAACAAAAUAUGACAACUUGAAAUCGUGGGCUGCUAUAAAACCCAGGGUAAAAUCUUCAAGCAGCACACAAGAAUGGCUUCUUCAGGAAUUUUCUUCUUUGUUCUUUUUGUUCUCUAUGCUUCAACAGGUAUCAUCCAUCGUCCUUCCUUUGAGUGCAUUUUUGAUGUCAUAUAAAUCUCUGUUUUGUGUGUGUAGUCGCUGCCCAAAACGUGCAUUUUGGUUAUGGAGUUUAUCUUCCCACCACGGAUCUGGGAUCUCCGUUGAGGACCCUGAGGCCCAUUUUCAACGAGAGAGCUAACGACUUCUUGCUGUCCGAGAAAUAUACCUCUGUCACAAACAACCAUGCCCACACUAGUAACAACGAAGAGCUCUACAGAUCAGUAAGCUAUGCAACACUACCAGUUCCUAAUCUGAUCGGUGGUUUGUAUUGUGAUCACAGUUUGGAGUUACGUUUGGGAUGAACGUUCCUAUAAAAGUUCUGCAGCUUAACAUCGAGGCAUCGUUCAACAAGAUUGCGGGGAGCAAGACAAGCAUCAGGACCACCUCCGUGUUUGUGGAGUCAUACAACCAGAGGAUCUACCUCCGGAACCAUGCAAGGGCCAUCCAAACCCUCCCACUCAACUCUGAUUUCCUCAGUGACUUGCGCAACCUUCCCGAGCCACCCAGCUCCGACAGCGCUUGGGGGCCAUACCGAUCCUUCUUGAACAAGUGGGGAACACACUACGUGUCCGAGACGUUCCACGGCUCAUGGCUGCGCCAGUGGACCGUGGCCU